CUUUGGGGUCACCCAUGGGGUCCCCCACCCCGUUGGGUCCCCCUCCCCCUUUUAGGGUCACCCCGCUCACCCUUUUUCCCAGGGGUCCCGGGGGGCCGUUUUCUCCCGUCGGACCCGGAGAGCCCUAAAAAGAAAAAGGGGGGAACUGUUAUGGGGUCGGGGCACCUUAUGGGGUCACCAGACGGGGUCAUCAUAUGGGGUCAUCGUAUGGGGUCAUCAUAUGGGGUCAUGAUAUGGGGUCACCAUAUGGGGUCAUCAUAUGGGGUCACCUUAUGGGGUCAUUGGGAUCAGGUCAUCAUAUGGGGUCACAGCUAUGGGGUCACAGCUAUGGGGUCACCAUAUGGGGUCACUGGGAUGGAGUCAUCAGCUAUGGGGUCACCAUAUGGGGUCAUCGGGAUUGGGGUCACCAUGUGGGGUCACCUUAUGGGGUCACCAUAUGGGGUCACAUCAUAUGGAGUCAUCAUAUGGGGUCAUCAUACGGGGUCAUCGUAUGGGGUCAUCAUAUGGGGUCAAUGGGAUGGGGUCACCAUAUGGGGUCACUUUAUGGGGUCACCUUACGGGGUCAUUGGGAUUGGGGUCACAGCUAUGGGGUGACUGGGAUGGGGUCACCAUAUGGGGUCAUCAUAUGGGGUCACCAUAUAGGGUCAACAUGUGGGGUCAUUGGGGUGGGGUCACCAUAUGGGGUCACCUUAUGGGGUCACCUUAUGGGGUCAUCAUAUGGGGUCACCAUAUGGGGUCAUUGGGAUUGGGGUUACAGCUAUGGGGUCACCAUAUGGGGUCAUCACACGGAAUCAACUUAUGGGGUCAUUGGGAUGGGGUCACCAUAUGGGGUCACUGGGAUGGGGUCACAGCUAUGGGGUCACCAUAUGGGGUCACUGGGAUGGAGUCGUCAGCUAUGGGGUCACCAUAUGGGGUCAUCGGGAUUGGGGUCACCAUGUGGGGUCACCAUAUGGGGUCAUUGGGAUGGGGUCACCAUACGGGGUCACCAUAUGGGGUCAUCGGGAUUGGGGUCACCUUAUGGGGUCACUGUAUGGGGUCAUCAUCAUAUGGAGUCAUCAUAUGGGGUCACCAUAUGGGGUCACAUCAUAUGGAGUCAUCAUAUGGGGUCACCAUAUGGGGUCAUCGGGAUUGGGGUCAUCAUGUGGGGUCACUGGGAUGGGGUCAUCAUAUGGGGUCACCAUAUGGGGUCAUUGGGAUGGGGUCAC
Molecule: long non-coding RNA, 1205 nt
Filed under: Phasianus colchicus (ring-necked pheasant)
Lineage: Eukaryota; Metazoa; Chordata; Aves; Galliformes; Phasianidae
Description: lncRNA (ENSPCLG00000013351.1)
Source: RNAcentral